RNAcentral lists this ribosomal RNA (248 nucleotides) under uncultured Oscillospiraceae bacterium. Its description in RNAcentral is "partial 16S ribosomal RNA". It matches the Rfam family "Bacterial small subunit ribosomal RNA", at positions 524 to 771 of the family's 1533-position model. The record is from RNAcentral. Lineage: Bacteria; Bacillati; Bacillota; Clostridia; Eubacteriales; Oscillospiraceae.
UACGUAGGUGGCGAGCGUUGUCCGGAAUUACUGGGUGUAAAGGGCGUGUAGGCGGGUAGAUAAGUCAGAUGUGAAAUACCGGGGCUCAACCCCGGGGCUGCAUUUGAAACUGUCAAUCUUGAGUGCCGGAGAGGAAAGCGGAAUUCCUAGUGUAGCGGUGAAAUGCGUAGAUAUUAGGAGGAACACCAGUGGCGAAGGCGGCUUUCUGGACGGUAACUGACGCUGAGGCGCGAAAGCGUGGGGAGCAA